Molecule: non-coding RNA, 952 nt
Organism: Parasteatoda tepidariorum (common house spider)
Lineage: Eukaryota; Metazoa; Arthropoda; Arachnida; Araneae; Theridiidae
Source: RefSeq, a predicted model, not a curated record
GAGAAGCAUCUCGGCCUUUUCGUGCUCGCAUGGAAGGCUGCGCAAGUCAUGAGAGGAAGAGAUGCAUCAUUGAAAUUGAAUCCGUCGCUAAUUACUCCAAUCCUGCGAUUACUUUCGUAUUUCUGAAUAUUGCUAAGAGAUGGCGCUGCUAGUCCCGCUUUCUUCUCAAUUUUCGCAUUGAGAUUUUCCGACUUGAAAUCAAAAUCAUUUUGUACUUACUGCAAUUCAGCUUUCAUUAGUGUUACCGCUGCAUGUCAAAAUAGUUGAGAUGUAUUCGGAGAGUGAAUCCGUGGGCAGUGAAUUUUACCUAAGUUUAAUAAUUAUUUCAUGCAGAUCAUACACACUUUAAAGCAAUAGAGUUAAUAAAUAUGCUAUCACAUUGUAUUUUUUUAAAAAUAAAACUUCGGUUCAUUGCAGGGAAAACUAGAGAUCAGUGGUCGGGACGUCACACCAACAAUACGUCAUGCAAAAAACUGCUUUGCCUUUUUGAAUUUAGGAUAGAACAUAUAUUAAUUUUCAGCAAUAAAAUAAAUGCUUUUUUUGGAGCGGAAAUUCGAAAAAUAAAUCAGACAACCAGAUGCAUGCAGCGUGAGGGAAAGAUAAACCGAAAAAUAAUGCUUAUGUUUAAUGAUUUAUAAUCUAUUUUUAACUAUCAGUGUUUGUCUUAAAAUGAAUAAAUAAUUAAGCUAGGCAAUCACAGUCCACCUGUUCCAAAACACAUUAAAAAUUUUAACCAUCUCUUAUGCAGCAUUAUGGAAAGAACUCCCCUCACCAUUCGUCUAGAGCACUGACGCGGACGAAUUUUAACUAUUUCCAAUAGGAGUAUUGUGUCAAUAUUUAAGAUAGAUUUGGUGAAAGAAAGGGAAUCAGAACAAGUUGUGGCCUUUUUUUCCUGAUACGGAAGAGUGAUGACGUUGAUAAUUAGGUGUUUAAUGAUACACUAUAAUUCAGG